UGUUUCUGACAAUCAAACAUGAUACAGCAAUAUUGUCAUCAUCAUUUUCUGACUAAAAAUAUUUUUGUUCAGUACUUGGUUAAUUUAAAAUAUUUAUUGGUUAAAAUGCGACAAAAAUCUUCCAGACUAAAAUUUAUGCCCUGUUAAAAUUUCAGCGAGAUUAGUUAUAUAUUGAGGAAGUGCAUAGCCGACAAACAUAUAUGAAUAUACAUUGACUUAUAUAUAUAGAGAGAGAGAUGAAUAGAUGUUGUUUAUAUAUUUACAUUUCGGACUUAUGGAUUAAAUCCAUAUAUAAGACUAAAUGCAUUUUAAAAAGCUUAUGCGUGUCUACAUAACCUAGAAAGUCUGUUUAGGUAUUUAUGAUUAUAGAAGAUAGACGGUUGUGACUUGUGGUACUGUAAGCGCAUCACACGUGUAGACUCAGUUCAACUUUGCAUCUACAAGAUUCCUGGGUUCCAUUUGGUUACUUGAAAUAAUUGGUGGGGAUGGGCUUGUUCAAAUUAAGUCAAUAUUUCAAUACGGAUUCACCCAGGUUUGUGGUUGACCAACGACAACUUGGUAUGAUAAUAAAAAUGCUCUCAUGGACAACACUUAAGGGAUCGGAAAGAUUUUGGUGUCGUCGGCGGCCUGUUUUUGCUAAGACAGAGGCAAUUUUGUUCACACUUGGUUAUCUCGUGUGUCUUCAAUAAAGGUCACUGUGUAUCAAAUAUCUUUCAGAGUUAUUGUCUUAACACCGAUAUACAUGCUAAAAGGUACAACUUCCUUAAGUUUUGUUUAUGAGUGUAAACAUUAUUUUCCAUUAGGUUACAACUUUUUCUCUAAAUAAUGUAUAUAUUGAAUGGCCUAUUUACAUAUUUACAAUAUUAAAAUAAUUACAGUAAAAGAAAACAACGAUAUUUACAAUUGCAGUCUUGACUUAAGGUCAUUACUGUGGCCCUCGCAGAUAUGGCCCCGUGAUGUCAAGGUCCUGCAGCUAUCACGCAAGCCUCCUAUGGCCUCUCAUGGUAGUUCCUUGAUAAAAUGGUCCCUUUAUACCUCUUUAUCCAUCAACAAUAUUAUUUUAACCGAUUAAAAAUAUUAGAGAACGGCAUCUCCAGAUUGUGCAACUAAGAGCUACUGAUGCGUUCCGCCGACUCUCGUUACGAAUAUCAACUAAUCCCAGUUCAAUUUUACUUUUUUGCUAUUUCUCGAUUUUGUAAAGUCCUAAUUCCAGGUUUAAAAAUAACUAAAUCGCGUAUUUUAAGAAAAAUAGAUUGUCUAUACACGUGUAUUGUGUAUGUUGCUAUGCUUGAAUAGAGAGAAAGAGAGGGCGUCAAACCAGUGAAAUAAAUUUGAUUUCCCAAAAUGUGCAAAUAAGAUUAAUCAAUAAUAUAUGUAUAUAUUUAUUAGCCUUCAAGUGCUGCCCUUAACAGUAAAAUAGCGUAACUACUGAAAAUUUGUUUUACGAAUUUAAAAUUUACAUAUUUUUCUGCCUUUUAAAACAUAGUAUAUAUAGUUAAACCUGUCUAUAGCGCCCCCCUCUUGGGACUCACCAAAAUAGGGUGCUAUAGACAGGUCACUUUUAAUGUAAAUCGCAUCGUACUACGUAUUUAAAAUCGGGCGCUAUUUAGAGGGGGCGCUAUAGACAAGUUUAACUGUAUAUAUAUAUUAAAGUUCAGCCAUGUUUAUGUGAAUUUCUUAAUGAUUGUAAUUAGUUAAUUUUCGUAGAGAAGUUAAAAUAUUUCAUCUUUUCUCAUUAAGCAUUUCUUUUAUAUAAAUAACUAGACGUAUGACCCGGCUUCGCCCGAGAAUUCCCCCGAUGGCUAUUUCUUUUUUUCAUUUGAAAAACUUUUUUUUUACGCGGAGUAAUCCGGAAUGGAAUGAAUACCCAAAUAUGGCAAUUUUUUUAUAAGAAUCGGUGGUUCAGUGGUAGAAUGCUCGCCUGCCACGCGGGCGGCCCGGGUUCGAUUCCCGGCCGAUGCAUUUUUUCUUUACAAUUUUUAAAACUCAUUAAAUCAAAUACCUAAACACUAAUAUAAUACAAUUUUUGCCAUCACACACACUUUUUUCCUGUAGUUUAUGUGUUACUUCUGUAUUGCUAUUCUAUGGCACUUCUAAUAUUUAUUAUUGAUGUACUUUCAGUAUGAAGGAAAUUUCAUUCGGGGGAUUCUCGAGCGAAGCCGGGUCAUACGUCUAGUAUAUAAUAUAAAUGAGUUUUAAAAAUUGAAAAAAAAAAAUGCAUCGGCCGGGAAUCGAACCCGGGCCGCCCGCGUGGCAGGCGAGCAUUCUACCACUGAACCACCGAUGCGUAUAAAAAAUGGCCAUAUUUGGGUAUUCAUUCCAUUCCGGAUUACUCCGCGUAAAAAAAAAAAGUUCUUCAAAUGAAAAAAAAAGAAAUAGCCAAAAAUACUAAUCAAAAUGUAGCCGAAAAAUUUCCUCAGAUUUAUAAAAAGCGACAUGCAAAAUUUGGUACCAAUUGGUUCAGUAGUUUUUGAGUUUAUCGCGAAACAGACAGACAUUGACUUUUAUAUAUAUAGAGAUAGAACUUUAGUCAGUUCUAGGAACGGGUCUAGAACGACAGCCAGUUCAAAGCAUUAUUAUGAAGUUUUUACCUAUAUAUAUUUACAUAUCUUGAGACCUUUAUAUAUAUAGAGAUUACAUAUAUAUAUAAUUAUUAUGAAGUUUUUACCUAUAUAUAUUUACAUAUCUUGGCCUUUAUAUAUAUAGAGAUUACAUAUAUAUAUAUAACUAGCGGAUGUACCCGGCUUCGCCCGGGUUUUACCCUAGUGAAAGUUUACCUAACCAGUACUUGAAAAAAAUUAUUUUUCGAGCAUACAUCCACUCUCUACUUAAACUUUUUUAUAAAGAUAAGCUGUACCCGUUCACACGUUGCUGUGUUUGUACAAAAAGGCAGUUUUGAUACCUCAAACAUAAUUUAUUAAUGAUAAAAUGUAUACAAUACAUCAAAAUGAAAAUUAAUAAUGAAAUUAUCCCUAUAUAUAAGUCAUUUGAAUAUAACAUAUGUACAAAACAUAGAUAUACAUAGUUAAUGGUAGAAUAAACAUGUUUCUUCAUUUGUGAUAUUAAACAGUAUUGCAAACGAAUUUCAAUUGAACAACAAUUUUGUAAUUAUUAAAUAUUAUCAUGAAAUGAAUGAAAUUUGAUGAUUUAUUUAUUUAUUUCAAUUCAAAACGCUAUGUCCCCCUAGGGACACUUGCGCUAAAUGUAUAUACAAAUAUAAAAAAGAAAAUAUUCAACAUGGAAAGAUACACUGAAAGCGACUUAGAAAGAUUCAAAAAUAUUAUUUACAUAUAGAGAUAUUCUUUGAAAUUUAUUUACAGUUACAUCAUUAAAUUUAAAAAUAUAUACAUAUAUACACACAAAUACACCUAUAUAUUGUUUACAACCAUAAAAUAUGUCCAAUAUUUCCUUGAUGAUUGAUGGUGAACUUUAUCUUAGUAGUGCUUGUAAUUAUACAACAUUUUUUGUUUUCCUAUUUGGUGCAAGAACAAAUAAAUUUGAUGGUUUUCCAACUCGUGAACACCCAACGUACAGCUGUCCAUGUGAGAAGCAUGGAUUUAUCAAAUUUAAUCCACAUACUUGCAAUGAUUGUCCCUGUGCUUUGUUAAUGGUCAUUGCAAAGGCUAAUCGUACAGGAAACUGUAAACGUUUGAAUUCAAAUGGAGUAUCCGUUGGUAUCAUGGGAAUGCGUGGUAGUAGUACAUGUUCCCCUUGAUAUUUUCCAUUUAAAAUGGUUGCCUCAAUAAUGUUAUUCAUUAAUUUUUUUACUGAUAGCCUAGUCCCAUUGCAUAGUCGCGGUGGAUUUAUAUUUCGUAGAAGGAUGAUUGGGGAACCAAUUUUCAAAGAUAAAAUAUACGGUGGCAUUCCUGGUAGAUCCAAUGAAUUUAAAAAUUCUAUUGGAUAAUUAACUGAUUCAUCGGGAUUGACAACAGUAUCUAUGGAUUUAUAUGUUGUUUCUUCUUCAGGUAUUUUAUUUUGAAUUGUGCAGUUAAUUAAAUUCACAUCAAUUUUUUUGGCUGACAAUAUAGCACGCUCACUAACCCAAUGAUUAUUUUUAUAAUUCUGCGAUAAAUUUGGAAAAACUUUGGCAAUCAAUUCAUCAGUGGAUUUUACAAAGUGACAAAAGUUUUCUGGUAAUGUAAUACAGUGUGUGGAUUCGUCCAUUUCCAUUUUACCAUUCACAAUAUCUAACAAUUGUUUUGCAAAUCGUUCAGAAGAUUCAUCUUGUUGUAAUUGAACACGCAUAUUGGUCUUUAAAGAUAUUUUCUCCACAUACCGCCAUAACACUGAUGAUUUUAGACAUGCAUUCAAUUCAUCUGCAGGUGUUGAACGUGGUAUAACUGGUAGAGUUUGUCGAAAAUCACCAGCUAGCAAAAUGAGUGCACCACCGAAGAGCUGCUCAUUUCCUCUCAAAUCUUUUAAAGUACGAUUGAGUGCUUCCAAAGAUUUCUUGUGUGCCAUGGUGCAUUCAUCCCAUAUUAUAAACUGACAUGAUCUUAGUACUUUUCCCAUCCCAGAAUUUUUGCUAAUAUUACAUGUUGGAGUUUCAAUUACCUGCAUAUUUAAUGGCAAUUUCAACGCUGAAUGUGCUGUUCGACCACCGUCCAAAAGAGUUGCUGCAAUACCAGAUGAUGCAAUAGCAAGUGCAAUAUUAUUUUGUGAUCUUAUAGUUGCCAGAAUAAUUGAAAUAAGAAAAGUUUUUCCAGUGCCUCCAGGUGCAUCUAAGAAAUAUAAACCACAACUCUUGUUAGAUAUUGCAUUUAUAAUUGUGUCAUAUGCUGUUCGUUGCUCUAAUACCAAUUUCGGCAGAUCAAUUCGAACAAAUGCUUGUAAUUCAUUAGCAUCGAAGUGCGUUUCUUGUUGUAUAUCACGAUCUAAAAUGUCAAUACCAGAUCUAUUUGGAGCAAUCAUUCCCAAUUCUGUCAGUGAUUUGUUGGCUAUUGUCAAACACCCAUCCUCAAUUAAAAUCAAUGCUUCAUUGUAUAUUUUUGAUGUAACACAUGGCCAUUGACUGUUUUUAAAUCUUGGAAAGAUGUUGGUCCACGAACAUUGAUUAAUAAUAAUCUUAGGUAAAAGCAUUCUGCGUUAUUUGGAUGUACAGUGUACAGACGACCCAAUGCAUCUGUGGAAUAUAAAUUGAGGUGUCCUUGUACUGUUCUACCUUGUUUACGACGCUGAAAUUUUCUUGUUGAUGUAUUCCACGUAAAAUAAGUUGGUACUUCAGAGUACAGUAGUGUCCUUGCAAAGGUAACAUUUCUACAUAAUGUGAAAAAUUCAGUUAAUGUUGUUGGCGGUGGUGACAUUGCUCUUGCACGUACAUUUUAUGAUGUAAAAUACACACGCUGUCCAUUUUCAAUAUGUACUGCUAAAUGAACAACCGUUGGAUAUCGCUCAUGAAUGGAAAAUGAUAAAAUACGCCAUACAGCCUCAUUGCUACUUAUGUAGCGUCCCAGUUGAUAUUGGGUGACUUCAUCAUUAGAUGCAGUUGUAUUUUCCACUCCAAACACUGCCAUAUCGCUUCCUUUGUUCACAUAUUUGCAAAUAUAUUUUAUAGCUUUCACUGAGUUGCAGAACUCAACAUUUAUGUGUGCGUUAUACGUUUUUAGUAGUAAUGGAGAAUAUGGUACUACCCAACGAUUAUCAACAUCAAUAGUAUUGUUGAGUACUUUUAGUUUAAAGGAUUUUCCACCAUCUUCGGUAGAUCGUCGUCGAUAGAGUGGAUAUCCAUCAUUGCCUGUAAUAGUUUCAGCAAGUAAGUCUCUAGGAUACCGCUUUGUGCACUUUCCAUCUGACAUGCAUGGUGAAUUAUUAUUUAGUGAGCCACAUGGACCAUGAAUCAUAUUUUUUGAGACAAUAUCGUGCAAGUCUUCAUCAAUUUUAAUGUUUGGUAUUUCUGCAGAGAUAAUUUCAUCAAUUCUGCUUGGUGUUAUCUUUUCCAUCAUCCAUAUUAAAAUAUUCGCAUGUGGUAAACCUCUUUUUUGCCAUUCAAUGGAAUACAUCCAACAGCGCGUCUCUCCAAAUACAUGGUGUUUGACAAUAAAAUCUAGUAAAGAUUUUAAUUUUUGUUUAAAUACACGUGCGGAAAUAUCAUGACGAUCUGAUGGUGAUUGUCCAGUUAAUAAAAGCUCCUUUAUUUCAUCCCAUGCUGGGUUGCAUGUAAAUGUGAUGAAAAAAUCUGGACGACCAUAUGCACGAACAUACGUCAUUGCAUCUUGUGCAUAUUCAUGCAUGUGUCUUGGACUGCCUGUAAAUGUGGAUGGUAAAAUGACCAUUUUUCCCAAUUCCCUGAGAUUGCCAUCAUUUACAACUGCAUCACGUAAAUGGAUGUACUCUUCAGAACGCAAUUUGACUUGAUUUAGUCGUAUGUAGAGGAGCCUUUCACUUUCUAUUUUUGCAUACAUGUCAACAAUGUAUUGAUGAAAUAAUUGUCUACAUUUCAAUAUAUGAUUAUCAGCAUUCUCACGAUUCAUCAUUCGAUAUGCAUAAUAAUUCAUAGCACUGACCUUUUUGUUAAUGUCCACAUUAGUUGUGGGAUUUCUCAUAUUAAUAUUAAAAUGAUAUCCAUCCUCUCCUUGCCAAAAUAGAAUGGGAUAUUGUAAUGCAUCAUAUGAACGAUGCGUUUCUGAUACUUUCUGGACGCCACCAUUUCUACGAUGAAGAAUGAUAUCGCGAGAAUUAAAUUCUUCACCAACUAUGACAAUUGCCACUUCAUCGAUCGUUGGUGCGUUGAAUUGUCUCCUAUGUUGACCAAUAGGUGUUUUAUCUGCCUUUAUUAUUACUUUGUAAUCGUCAGAUGGCAUUUGUUCAAUGGCGGUUUUAAAUAAUUUAAUUAAUUCAUUAUGUUGUUCAAACAAAUUUUGUAAUUCAGCGACAAUCUCUCGUUUAGUACUCACAUUCAGUUGACACCGUCUGUUGAUUUGUU
Molecule: transfer RNA, 6922 nt
Filed under: Cordylochernes scorpioides
Lineage: Eukaryota; Metazoa; Arthropoda; Arachnida; Pseudoscorpiones; Chernetidae
Rfam family: tRNA (bases 1892-1962)
Source: RNAcentral